UAACACCGGUUCUUGUACGAUCACCGAAGUUAAGCAACGUUGACUGUGUUCAGUAUCGAGGUGGGUGGCCGCUUGAGAAUACUAGGUGUUGUAA
Molecule: non-coding RNA, 94 nt
Organism: Acanthosepion pharaonis
Lineage: Eukaryota; Metazoa; Mollusca; Cephalopoda; Sepiida; Sepiidae
Source: the annotation of a GenBank genome assembly